GAGUUUGAUCGUGGCUCAGAUUGAACGCUAGCGGGAUGCCUUACACAUGCAAGUCGAACGGCAGCACGGACUUCGGUCUGGUGGCGAGUGGCGAACGGGUGAGUAAUGUAUCGGAACGUGCCUAGUAGCGGGGGGAUAACUACGCGAAAGCGUAGCUAAUACCGCAUACGCCCUACGGGGAAAGGCAGGGGAGUCGCAAGACCUUGCACUAUUAGAGCGGCCGAUAUCGGAUUAGCUAGUUGGUGGGGUAACGGCUCACCAAGGCGACGAUCCGUAGCUGGUUUGAGAGGACGACCAGCCACACUGGGACUGAGACACGGCCCAGACUCCUACGGGAGGCAGCAGUGGGGAAUUUUGGACAAUGGGGGAAACCCGUGAUCCAGCCAUCCCGCGUGUGCGAUG
This 402-nucleotide ribosomal RNA is filed under the name uncultured microorganism. RNAcentral describes it as "bacterial SSU rRNA". It matches the Rfam family "Bacterial small subunit ribosomal RNA", at positions 9 to 410 of the family's 1533-position model. The record is from RNAcentral.